This is a long non-coding RNA of Perognathus longimembris pacificus (Pacific pocket mouse), 319 nucleotides long. RefSeq lists it as uncharacterized. The record is from RefSeq and is a predicted model, not a curated record. The transcript has 2 exons. NCBI's taxonomy places the organism in Eukaryota, Metazoa, Chordata, Mammalia, Rodentia, Heteromyidae.
UUACAGGUGUGAGCCAACAGUGCCUGGCUCUACAUAAAAUUGACCUAUAUAGAAAGGAGGUCACUAUCAAUGAUUGUUUGGGGACAAAUGGUGGAGACAUGAGGAAGUUGUGGGAAGAGGUGAAGUGAAGAAAUUAUAGAGGAAAAACUUGCUUAUCUUGAUUGUGAUAGUUUCAUGUGUGUGUAAAAUUGUAUAGGUGAAAUAUGCAUGUCAAUUACAUUUAUAUAAAGCAAGCUUUAAAAAAAGAAAUAGUUCAUUUCUUUGUGGUAAGAGUUUACUAUUACAUUUUCACCAAUUCAUGUCUAGAUAUAUUUCAACA